This 73-nucleotide transfer RNA is filed under the name Ictidomys tridecemlineatus (thirteen-lined ground squirrel). RNAcentral describes it as "Spermophilus tridecemlineatus (thirteen-lined ground squirrel) tRNA". It matches the Rfam family "tRNA". Rfam says of the family: Transfer RNA (tRNA) molecules are approximately 80 nucleotides in length. Their secondary structure includes four short double-helical elements and three loops (D, anti-codon, and T loops). Further hydrogen bonds mediate the characteristic L-shaped molecular structure. tRNAs have two regions of fundamental functional importance: the anti-codon, which is responsible for specific mRNA codon recognition, and the 3' end, to which the tRNAs corresponding amino acid is attached (by aminoacyl-tRNA synthetases). tRNAs cope with the degeneracy of the genetic code in two manners: having more than one tRNA (with a specific anti-codon) for a particular amino acid; and 'wobble' base-pairing, i.e. permitting non-standard base-pairing at the 3rd anti-codon position. The record is from Rfam by way of RNAcentral. Lineage: Eukaryota; Metazoa; Chordata; Mammalia; Rodentia; Sciuridae.
GGGGAUAUAGCUCAGUUGGUACAGUAUUUGCCUUGGAUUCACAAGGCCCUGGAUUUGAUUCCCAGUACCCCCA